ACAAUUCAAAAACUAUUCAUGAAUUCACAAACAAUUAUGAUUUUAAAAGUAUGUCUGACUUUCAAAAAUUGAUCACGAAUUUUCAAAAUUUAUUCCCAAAUUUCAACGAACAGGAAAAAGGAAAAUUGAAAAAACUGAAGAAAAAAGGAGAGAGAACGCAUUGAAGGGAAACAGAAAAGGAAAGGAGGAAGGAAAACAUUUUUUUUUUGUUUGAGUCAGGAAGGAAAACAGGUGAGGUGGAAAAAUGGGAAUGGGCCAGGCCAAUUGAUGCGUCACGCUUGUGUUACGUCGCUUUUCUCCGACCUAUGUGAUAAAUAGAAUGGUGGUUCCUUUUUAACCCGUAGCGCACGCUCUCUCUUCCGGUUUGUGAAGGUUCUAGAACCUUUCAGGCCGUCUUUUUUCCCAAGUUUGCUUUUUCAUUUUCUUCUUAUUUUAUCUUACUAUUUUUUUUAACUUUCAUUUUUGCCUUUUACUUUUCUUUUUAAUUUUCGAACAUCUUUCAAAUUAGUGCACAUUUUAUUAGAAAUAAUGAAGAUUUUUUUAAAUCAUGAAAAAAAUUGAAUUCAUGAACAUUUUCUCAAAUUGUGAAGAAUAUUGGAGAUUGUGAAUACUUUUUGAAUUUGCAAUCUUUUUUUACAAUUUUGCAAACAUUUUUUGAAAUUGUGAUUUUUUUUGAAAUUUGGGAAGAAUUUCUAAAAUUAAUGAAAACAUUGAUUUGACGAACAUUUUUCAAAUUAUGAACUUUUUAUAAAAAUGCGGGGAAAUUAGAUUUGUGAACAUUUUUUUCAAUUUGUGAUCAUUUUUUAAACAUUCAUGAACAUUUUCUGAAUUCAUGAACAUAUUUUGAAUUUGGGAACAAUUUUUUUAAUUAGAUCUUUUUUUCAAAUGCCGGUCAUUUGUUGAUUUUCACAUUCAUGAACAGUUCUCAAAUGUAAAAAAUAAAAGAAACAAAACGGAAAUAAUGAAAGAAAAUGAAAAAUAGGAGCGCCCAGCCCCACACAGGCCGGCCCAAAAUGUGCUGAGGCGCAAGGGGUGCGUGUUGGUGGCUAUUCGCCGACCUAUGUGCGAAAUUGGGGCUCCCCAACGUUUCACGUUGCUGCCUCCUCCUUAGUUGUAGCGUCGUCUGCAACCGCUUCCGGACGUCCCGAGUACAUGUUGACGACGUCAUGGACGCCGCCUCGACCCCCAUGUCCUAGUCCAUCGGUUUGGAGUUGGAUCCCAAGACUUCAACAAGUGUUGCACCUCCAAUGGCCUACCUCCACUGCCUAGGCCAGUAUCUCAUUCACCCUUGCCGGCCGCGAGUCGGGCGCAAAGGUGAAAAACCCUAUGCCAUUGCAUGUAGGUGCCAGCCUCCCCCUGCUUGCGCCGUAGCGGCCUCCAAUGAAAAGGAAGGAAGAAGACAGGUCGCGUCGUUGCCCUUCCUUCCUUCGUUCCGACAGCGGGCGAAACUCGGCACCUUCCGAGUCCUACGUCGGACCGGAAACGUCUCAAUGAGGUAAAAAAACCAUCCUUUACCUUUGUAUUCAGUUUGUUCGAUAAAAUGUGAGGUGACCGUGAAAAGAUGUUGGCAAACGUGCAAUGAAAAAAAUAUCAGUGACUUGAUGAGGACAAGGAAUGAGCACGCGUAGAAAAGCAUGCAAUAAAAGGUGGAGAUGGAGGAGAAGACCUCAAGAGAGGAGGACGAGGUGGGAUGCUACGCAAGAGAGAAGACGGCUUCAUAAGAAGAAGGAGGCGCAUAGGCUCGAAAUUAAGGAGCGUCGAGCCACCACUAAACACAUAGCCAAGGAGAACCGAUUCAUCAUGUUGGAUGCGAGCUCCAUAGAUUCAGUGCCGAGAGAAUUUUUUAAGUAGACACGAAUGGAAAUCAUACACUCUAGGUCCGCCGGAGGAGGGGGCGGUCCACAUGUUGAAGACGGGGCCGAUGCACCCACGGGCAACAUGUCAUUUGUGCAUGCCGCUGGUUAAAUGUUUUUGUUUAUGCAACUUGUUUGAAGUUAUGUGCAUGAUUGCUUUUUGAAUUGUGUGAUAAAAUGUUUGAUCUUAAAGGCAAUCGAAGUAUUUUGAAUAAAAAAACAUUAUGGAGAUUGAGAUAUUUUGUGCUCGAGUUGCUCUAGGCCACGAUCAGCCCGGCCCAUCGUGCCACCAAAUUACACGUUACAUUGCGGCCUGCGAGACCCGGAGUACAUAAAGGAAGCCCAAACCCGAAGCAACUUCCCCAACCCGAGACGACCAGCAGAAAAAAGGAAAAAGCAGAGGACCCAGCUCCCCUGCCCCCUUCCUCCGCCAACGGCGCAAGAAGCAGAGGAGGGCAAGCCGGCGGAGCAGAGCAGAACAGAGGGACAGGGGAGAUGGCGGCACCGCGCCCACAGCCGCUGCUGCUCCUGCUCCUCGUCGCGCUGCUGGCUGCCUCCGCGCCCCGCCGCGCCGACGCCUGGGGCAAGGAGGGCCACAUCAUGGUCUGCAAGAUCGCCGAGGUACUGUACGCCCCCUUCCCAAGAAGAUAAUAAUUCCGUCGGAUCGAGCUGGGGGCUGCUAGCUCGUGGGUGAGGAUGAAGGAAGGAAUGUGCCUGCGUGCGUGCGUGCGUGCUGAAUUGGGUUUGUGUGCUGCGUGCAGAGGUACCUGUCGGAGGAGGCGGCGGCGGCGGUGCAGGACCUGCUGCCGGAGUCGGCCGGCGGGGAGCUGUCGACGAUGUGCCCGUGGGCGGACACCAUGCGCUUCCGCUACCACUGGGCCAGCCCGCUCCACUACGCCAACACCCCCAACGUCUGCAACUUCAACUUCUCCCGUCAGUUCAUCCUCCUCCCCCUUCUUUCCUACUAGUACCUUUCUAGUUCGAUCAAUUGUGGUUUCUGAUGCAAAACCGAACAGAGUUUAAUUAGUGCCAUGACUAGUGUUAAACCAGCAAGAAGAUGCUUUUUUUUUCAAUUCCCUAAUAACACAUAUGGUAUUUAAAAGAUACACAUGUCCCUAUAAGACCAAUGAUUUUUGCUAUUGAACAAUUGUCUAGAAUUAUUUAUCGCAAGUCAAUUAUGUGCCUACCCUUUUCGUAUAGAAAUAUUGAAGUUAUUUAUAGCUUAUUGCAAGUCUAGCAAAUGUGCAGUUUUAGAGGGUUGAGAUUCACAGCCUUUUCUGGAAAAUACUCAGAUUUAUUAUAAAAGUUCACCAGAAGUGCAAAGCACCCUAAAUAUGAUAAUUACAUUGAGGUCUCUGGACCAUCGAACAACCAUUGCUGCUGUCAGAACGAGCCAUUGUCGCUCUGUUGUUGUCGCCGCCGCUCCCAUACUGGAGUCGGCUUGACCUUGUCGAUAAUAGCCGAGAGGUUUCGUACACCUGCACCCAAGGACCAGUGCCAUGGAGUCGUAGUCGUCGCCGUUGAUCCCUUGAAUCGAUCUAAAAAAACCGACACCAAAUCUCGUCGUAGCGUACAUACGAUGAGAAACACUAACCCGGCCGCCUCGAGGAGCUAUAAGGAAUGUACACCGGAGCUCCUUCUAAUCCGUCCCGAUGGACGAAUUGGAGGAGGAUCGAAGUCCGAAAGACUGGCUCGAAGAAGUGUCGCAAUCCAUCCAAGAGUCCGCCCCUGCAUGAACUAAAACCCUAACUUAUCUACUAGCAGAACCCGAGGUACCAUGACUCUCCUCCCCGCCACCGAGCGCCCGGAGCAGCAGGCGGAGGGGAGGCGAAUCCACAAGUGCUCGCUGGCUUGCCUUAUGGAAGGGGGAAGAAAGACAACGGACUGGCGGUGGAUUAGCUAACAACAAAGAGAAAAUAAGUGUUUUUUUACAAGAAUAAUAAAAGAAUGUAAACAUUUGUAGGACAAUAUAAGAAGAAAUGUUGUUUUGAGAUAAGAUUGGUUGCAUGCAUGAGGGGGGAGGUAUCGGCAGAUCCUUUGCUUGCACAUGCCUAUCGCAUAUGUGCCAUCUUGUGAAUCCGGGACCAACCGGGGAUGUUGCUUGUUGGAGAGUGAGAGAGGUUGAGUCAAGACAAAGGGUUCCCCCACUCUCUGAGCUUAAUUAGUUUGCUUGCUUCACGCAUCCCCCCACACGAUUCCAUCCGCACCACAUACACAUACACCGCUGUGCCGAACCGAUCGUUUUCGUCAGGGCAGAGCAGACAGUGUUCCUCCGUCUCGGAUCACCUAAAUAACUGCACUCCCUCAAAAGAGAGAAACUACACGUGGGCAAGUGAGGGCAAUCUGCUGCUAUCUAAUCUGAAUAUCUGAUCUGGUCUGGCGACAGCAAAAUAUUGCUGGACUUGUUCUCUUUCGCCGCGCGGCAUGUGGCCUUGCACGCGAGCGCGACGGACGGACGGACGGACGGACGCCGGCGAUCACCAUCACAUGGUCACAUGGAUGAUGAUGAUGGAAUGGAUGUGACCACAUACUAACCUAUUAUAUUAUUAACGGAGCAUAUAUAUAUAUAUGUUGCGACGUGAGACGCACCAUUAGUGGGUAUAUUACGUGCGGUCGUCAGAUGAAUAGAUAAUCUAAUGUUGUGACGACUAGGCUAGCGAGUGAUUUUUUUUUCACCAGAUGUCUAGACAGUGUGGUAGCAGAGCCUAGUAGAACAGCCAGGCAUAAAGUGUUUUAGUUUGUGUUGGGUUGUUGAGUUGAGCUUGAAGCGUGCGUGAGCUCAUGUGGCCGUGUAAAUUUCAGGGGAUUGCCACAACUCUCGCGGGGAGCAGGGGAUGUGCGUCGUCGGGGCCAUCAACAACUACACGGACCAGCUCUACACCUACGGGGACUCAUCAAAGAGCUCGUGUAAGUGCCCCCCAACACACUGUCGAAACAUAUGCAACAAGGGCUUCUGAAUCUGACGGAGAGAUUACCCUGUAUUCGCAACGCAGACAACCUGACGGAGAGCCUGAUGUUCCUGGCGCACUUCGUGGGCGACGUGCACCAGCCGCUGCACGUCGGCUACGAGGAGGACGAGGGCGGCAACACCAUCAUGGUGCACUGGUACCGCAGGAAGGCCAACCUGCAUCAUGUACGUGUAUAUCCUUGCCACGCCUCACAUCGAACAUUCAGACUUGUUAUGUUUUUUGGUCUGGACUGAACUUGUCGGAAUGUUUCUCUUGUGUGUUGGCAGGUGUGGGAUGUCAGCAUCAUCGACACGGUCAUGAAGGACUUCUACAACAAGAGCCUCGACACCAUGGUGGACGCCCUCCAGACGAACCUCACGGUGAGUACACCACUAGCCUAUCAACAGUUCAAAACACUGCCAGUACCUUCCUUGUUGUGUUUCUAAUAAUGCUAGCUGUGAGCUGCAGGAGGGAUGGUCCGACGAUGUCGGUCACUGGGAGAACUGUGCCAACAAAGAGGCGACCUGCGCAAACGAGUAUGAUUCCAUACCCAAACACUUGCGCUUUUUUCAGUUCAUGUCUUGUGCAACUGAUUCGAUCACAAGAUUUGACAUGAUAUGGUAUCAAAUCCGCCUUGCAGCUACGCGAUCGAGAGCAUAAAUCUUGCAUGCAACUAUGCCUACAAAGAUGUGGUGCAGAACAUCACCCUAGGAGGUCAGUGUCUAUGUUCACAGCAGUACUUGUAGAAACUACAGCAGUGUAUACAUUUUGCCUAGCUAGAGUGCAGUGCUAAUGGUUGGCAACUCUUCUGAAAUGCAGAUGAUUAUUACUUCACCCGGUACCCGGUUGUGGAGAAGAGGCUAGCACAGGCCGGCGUCAGACUGGCGCUGAUACUCAACCGUAUAUUCGACAAGAAGAAAGAAGCAGAUGCUAUGCCGUUAUACAUACAGUAAAGUAGCUAUACUACUUGUACAAAUAUAGAGUAGAUAUACGGGCUGGAAGGUAUUGUAGCUGCCGCUGACACGCCAGUUCGAUCACUUACCGCUUCAAUAGGUUUACGCGUUCUGUAAUAAGAGUCACGCAACCUUGGCACAGCAUUCAGAAAUUCAAUUGUUGUAAAGUUGUAGUCUAUUUGCUUGAACGAUAAACAAAUCCACAAGUGCAGUUGAAAGCGAUAUUUUAUCUUUCUCUCAUCUUCUUCAUUUCUUUACAUUAGUGUGUUACCGUUAAAUCUGAGACAUGAUAUAAAUUAGUUGUACAUUUCUUGGUGUCAUGACUCGAUGGUACAAAUAACCUGUUCUACUAGCCCUUCUAUGAACCCAUGAUGGCGAGUAGAUUCAGUUUCCUGAGCCAAUUCCAAUAGAAUGGGUGGGAACAAUCAAUGUGAAAUCUAUAUAGAACAAAUGGUGCACCAAAUCAAUUUUAUUCAUAUAUCUGAACCUCACGAUCUGAGACAUCUAAACAAGGGGAGCCUGCCUACAGGCAAUCGGUCGUCA
Molecule: long non-coding RNA, 6297 nt
Filed under: Triticum aestivum (bread wheat)
Lineage: Eukaryota; Viridiplantae; Streptophyta; Magnoliopsida; Poales; Poaceae
Description: long non-coding RNA (TAES_LNC028389)
Source: RNAcentral